RNAcentral lists this ribosomal RNA (1256 nucleotides) under Candidatus Phytoplasma trifolii. RNAcentral describes it as "bacterial SSU rRNA". It matches the Rfam family "Bacterial small subunit ribosomal RNA", at positions 153 to 1405 of the family's 1533-position model. Lineage: Bacteria; Bacillati; Mycoplasmatota; Mollicutes; Acholeplasmatales; Acholeplasmataceae. The record is from RNAcentral.
GAAACGACUGCUAAGACUGGAUAGGAAACAAAAAGGCAUCUUUUUGUUUUUAAAAGACCUUCUUAUGAAGGUAUGCUUAAAGAGGGGCUUGCGCCACAUUAGUUAGUUGGUAGGGUAAAAGCCUACCAAGACGAUGAUGWGUAGCUGRACUGAGAGGUUGAACAGCCACAUUGGGACUGAGRCACGGCCCAAACUCCUACGGGAGGCAGCAGUAGSGAAUUUUCGGCAAUGGAGGAAACUCUGACCGAGCAACGCCGCGUGAACGAUGAAGUAUUUCGGUAUGUAAAGUUCUUUUAUUGAAGAAGAAAAAGUAGUGGAAAAACUAUAUUGACGUUAUUCAAUGAAUAAGCCCCGGCUAACUAUGUGCCAGCAGCCGCGGUAAGACAUAGGGGGCGAGCGUUAUCCGGAAUUAUUGGGCGUAAAGGGWGCGUAGGCUGUUAGAUAAGUCUAUAAUUUAAUUUCAGWGCUUAACGCUGUCUUGUUAUAGAAACUGUCUUGACUAGAGUGAGAUAGAGGCARGCGGAAUUCCAUGUGUAGCGGUAAAAUGYGUAAAUAUAURGAGGAACACCAGARGCGUAGGCGGCUUGCUGGGUCUUUACUGACGCUGAGGCACGAAAGCGUGGGUAGCAAACAGGAUUAGAUACCCUGGUAGUCCACGCCGUAAACGAUGAGUACUAAGUGUCGGGGUAAAACUCGGUACUGAAGUUAACACAUUAAGUACUCCGCCUGAGUAGUACGUACGCAAGUAUGAAACUUAAAGGAAUUGACGGGACUCCGCACAAGCGGUGGAUCAUGUUGUUUAAUUCGAAGAUACACGAAAAAUCUUACCAGGUCUUGACAUACUCUGCAAAGCUAUAGAAAUAUAGUGGAGGUUAUCAGGGAUACAGGUGGUGCAUGGUUGUCGUCAGUUCGUGUCGUGAGAUGUUAGGUUAAGUCCUAAAACGAGCGCAACCCUUGUCGUUAAUUGCCAGCACGUAAUGGUGGGGACUUUAGCGAGACUGCCAAUUAAACAUUGGAGGAAGGUGAGGAUUACGUCAAAUCAUCAUGCCCCUUAUGAUCUGGGCUACAAACGUGAUACAAUGGCUGUGACAAAGAGUAGCUGAAACGCGAGYUUUUAGCCAAUCUCAAAAAAGCAGUCUCAGUUCGGAUUGAAGUCUGUAACUCGACUUCAUGAAGUUGGAAUCGCUAGUAAUCGCGAAUCAGCAUGUCGCGGUGAAUACGUUCKCGGGGUUUGUACACACCGCCCGUCAAAUCAC